Molecule: ribosomal RNA, 504 nt
Filed under: uncultured bacterium
Lineage: Bacteria
Description: bacterial SSU rRNA
Rfam family: Bacterial small subunit ribosomal RNA
Source: RNAcentral
UGGCUCAGGAUGAACGCUGGCGGCGUGCCUAACACAUGCAAGUCGAGCGGAGAUCUGUGAAGUAGCAAUACCAACGGAUCUAGCGGCGGACGGGUGAGUAACACGUGAGUAAUCUGCCUUCGGCAGGGGAAUAACAUUGUGAAAACAGUGCUAAUACCGCAUGAUAUCCGACGUGGGGCAUCCCGGACGGAUCAAAGGAGUAAUCCGGCAGAAGAUGAACUCGCGUCCGAUUAGCUAGUUGGUGAGGUAGUGGCUCACCAAGGCGACGAUCGGUAGCCGAACUGAGAGGUUGAUCGGCCACAUUGGGACUGAGACACCGGCCCAGACUCCGUACGGGAGGCAGCAGGUAGGGGAAUUAGUUGGGCAAGUGGGCGCAAACGCCUCGACCCAGCAACGCCGCGUAGAAGGACGAAGGCCUUCGGGUUGUAAACUUCUUUGAUCAGGGACGAAACGAAUGACGGUACCUGAGGAACAAGCCACGGCUAACUACGUGCCAGCCGCCGC